AAGGAACACGGCAAAAUGGCCCCGUAACUUCGGGGGAAGGGGUGCCACCGCAAGGUGGUCGCAGUGAAGAGGCCCAGGCGACUGUUUACCAAAAACACAGGUCUCCGCUAAGUCGCAAGACGAUGUAUGGGGGCUGACGCCUGCCCAGUGCCGGAAGGUUAAGGAAGCUGGUCAGCGCAAGCGAAGCUGGCGACUGAAGCCCCGGUGAACGGCGGCCGUAACUAUAACGGUCCUAAGGUAGCGAAAUUCCUUGUCGGGUAAGUUCCGACCCGCACGAAAGGCGUAACGAUCUGGGCGCUGUCUCGGAGAGAGGCUCGGCGAAAUAGAAUUGUCCGUGAAGAUGCGGACUACGUGCACCCGGACAGAAAGACCCUAUGAAGCUUUACUGUAGCUUGGUAUUGUGCCCGGGCUCUGAAUGCGCAGGAUAGGUGGGAGGCUUUGAUCCAUUGCUUGUGGGUGAUGGUGAGCCAACGGUGAGAUACCACUCUUUCAGAGCUAGGGUUCUAACGGUCACCCGUUAUCCGGGGACCGGACAGUAUCAGGUGGGCAGUUUGACUGGGGCGGUUGCCUCCUAAAAGGUAACGGAGGCGCGCAAAGGUUCCCUCAGGCUGGUUGGAAAUCAGCCGAUGAGUGUAAAGGCAGAAGGGAGCUUGACUGUGAGACCUACAAGUCGAACAGGGACGAAAGUCGGCCUUAGUGAUCCGACGGUUCUGAGUGGAAGGGCCGUCGCUCAACGGAUAAAAGUUACUCUAAGGAUAACAGGCUGAUCUCCCCCAAGAGUUCACAUCGACGGGGAGGUUUGGCACCUCGAUGUCGGCUCAUCGCAACCUGGGGCUGAAGUCGGUCCCAAGGGUUGGGCUGUUCGCCCAUUAAAGCGGUACGCGAGCUGGGUUCAGAACGUCGUGAGACAGUCCGGUCCAUAUCCGGUGCAUGCGCAGGAAUAUUGAGAGGAUUUCUCCCUAGUACGAGAGGACCGGGAGGAACGCACCUCUGGUGUACCAGUUAUCGUGCCAACGGUAAACGCUGGGUAGCCAUGUGCGGAGUGGAUAACCGCUGAAAGCAUCUAAGUGGGAAGCCCACCUCAAGAUGAGUAUUCCCAUGGCGUUAGCCAGUAAGGUCACGGGCAGAACACCCGUUGAUAGGCUCUACGUGGAAGCCGGGUAACCGGUGAAGCGGAGGAGUACUAAUAGACCGAGGGCUUGAC
Molecule: ribosomal RNA, 1204 nt
Filed under: metagenome
Description: bacterial LSU rRNA
Rfam family: Bacterial large subunit ribosomal RNA
Source: RNAcentral